RNAcentral lists this ribosomal RNA (468 nucleotides) under uncultured bacterium. RNAcentral's name for it is "partial 16S ribosomal RNA". It matches the Rfam family "Bacterial small subunit ribosomal RNA", at positions 28 to 507 of the family's 1533-position model. The record is from RNAcentral.
GACGAACGCUGGCGGCGUGCUUAACACAUGCAAGUCGAACGGAAAGGCCCUGCUUUUGUGGGGUGCUCGAGUGGCGAACGGGUGAGUAACACGUGAGUAACCUGCCCUUGACUUUGGGAUAACUUCAGGAAACUGGGGCUAAUACCGGAUAGGAGCUCCUGCUGCAUGGUGGGGGUUGGAAAGUUUCGGCGGUUGGGGAUGGACUCGCGGCUUAUCAGCUUGUUGGUGGGGUAGUGGCUUACCAAGGCUUUGACGGGUAGCCGGCCUGAGAGGGUGACCGGCCACAUGGGGACUGAGAGACGGCCCAGACUCCUACGGGAGGCAGCAGUGGGGAAUAUGGCACAAUGGGCGGAAGCCUGAUGCAGCAGCGCCGCGUGCGGGAUGACGGCCUUCGGGUGGUAAACCGCUUUCGCCUGUGACGAAGCGUGAGUGACGGUAAUGGGUGAAGAAGCACCGGCUAACUACGUG